RNAcentral lists this long non-coding RNA (1483 nucleotides) under Pelobates cultripes (western spadefoot toad). Lineage: Eukaryota; Metazoa; Chordata; Amphibia; Anura; Pelobatidae. The record is from RNAcentral.
GCAGGUACAAGAUUAGUAAAAUACAUACAUAAAUAUAAGGCAUAGAAGGUCACUGCACACAUUUUUUUUUAAGUUAAGUAGCUAGGUCACAGCGUAGUCAAACAUGUCUAUAUAGCAAAACAUAAGAUGUGGUCGAUGUGAGUUACUUAGACCUGUAAGUGAGUAUAAAACAAGCUGGUGAGACAUGCGUGUUAACAGAGUAAAAUAAUAAGCAAGUAGAUUAUUAGGCAAACACAUGUGUCAGUAUAAGAUUAGUUGGUGACAGGCUGUCUGAACGCAUGCCUAAUGAAUGCUAUAUAAAAUUAGAAAAACAUAAGAUUACAAAAUAAAUUAUAAUCAUGCUGGAUCUAGGUAAGGAGCUUUAGAGGAGCUAUCACCCUGGUUGAUCAAAGUUGCUUGAACUUAUGCAAAAGACAGGAACCGGCACCAUGGCGGGUCUGAGACCUCAUAUAAGGGAGCAGUCGUAUGAUUAGCUGUUGCCUGCUCUGCCGUGUCGGUGUAGCAGGAAAUGAGUGUCUGUCGAGGCAGGAGUCUGGGCACAGUCCAGCAUUACUUUUCGCUGAAUUCCUCGCUGGGUUCCCUUGGGCUGCAGCUGUUGUAAGUUGGGCCAGCCAUAUUUGAUCUUCAGGGGACCAGUGUCCACCAAGGCAGGGAGCUAGAUUUUAUCCAAUAAAACUUGCCACUGACUUCCACGCUGGAUUUUUGGGGCCGUCGCAAUACAAGAUGGGUGUAAGGUGAUAAAGGGGUCACCCCCUGUUGCAGGAGUACCUCGAUUAGCGGCAGGGUCGAUUGUCCCUGGCGGGUAUGGUCGUUGUGCUGUGUUCCGUCCCCUCUGUGCUGCAGCUGUCAUCAGCUUGAUUGGAUCGCCUGCACAGUUUGUCGCUGGCUUGGAUUGUUGCGGGGACGGGUGAGAGUUCUUCCGUCUGUUUGCAUUGCGAGGUAGGAAGGCUGCAAGCCCAUCAAGCUUGUGCCCGGGAGUCGCGCUGCUUAUUGUGAGCGCUGGGAGAGAGCAGUUCUUUCCUCUGCCUUCGGUGCACAUGGCGCCCGCCAUUUUAGAUGCAGCGCUCGGGCCGCAGAUCAAGGUGGUGUUGUCGCUGCGCCUUGGCUGCAGUUCCGCGGUCGGAGCAACAGGGUGAGGACCGGGAUCACCCCCACCGGUCCAGAGGGGGGGGAACAGGGCCAGGGUCACGCGGGUUUGGUCCUCUGGCUGGGUUCUGUUAGGCAGGAUAGCGGGGCAGCGGCCGUCUGCCCCACUCACCGCCGGAGAAGGCCCCAACUGGGACAUCGAAGAUUUCUCCUCCAGGGGACUGAAACUUGAGGAGCCAGCCUCUCCCUGGAUCCAGUGUUCCCUUUGCACUGAGGAUCAUUGCUGUUGGUCUGCUUUGAGUUCAAAAGUCAUGUUUUAAAAGCUUUAACGUUGGAACGGUGUAGGAGCUGGUCUUGCCUGCGACCAUCCAGCUCGGCGGCCCGGCCCCGCCCCCCU